This 78-nucleotide microRNA precursor is filed under the name Schistosoma curassoni. Its description in RNAcentral is "mir-3492 microRNA precursor family". It matches the Rfam family "mir-3492 microRNA precursor family". The record is from Rfam by way of RNAcentral. Lineage: Eukaryota; Metazoa; Platyhelminthes; Trematoda; Strigeidida; Schistosomatidae.
AGCAUUCUGAAUCCGUGCCGAGAUUUCUUCAAAUACUAUGCCAUCAGGACUGACGAGACUGCCGAGAUAGGUGAAGUG